This 440-nucleotide ribosomal RNA is filed under the name uncultured bacterium. RNAcentral's name for it is "partial 16S ribosomal RNA". It matches the Rfam family "Bacterial small subunit ribosomal RNA", at positions 338 to 795 of the family's 1533-position model. The record is from RNAcentral.
CCUACGGGUGGCAGCAGUGGGGAAUAUUGCUCAAUGGGGGAAACCCUGAAGCAGCAACGCCGCGUGGAGGAUGAAGGUUUUCGGAUUGUAAACUCCUUUUGUUAGAGAAGAUAAUGACGGUAUCUAACGAAUAAGCACCGGCUAACUACGUGCCAGCAGCCGCGGUAAUACGGAGGGUGCAAGCGUUAUUCGGAAUCACUGGGCGUAAAGAGCGCGUAGGCGGGAUAGCAAGUCCGAUGUGAAAUCCUAGGGCUUAACCAUAGAACUGCAUUUGAAACUGUUAUUCUAGAGUAUGGGAGAGGUAGGUGGAAUUCUUGGUGUAGCGGUAAAAUCCGUAGAGAUCAAGAGGAAUACUCAUUGCGAAGGCGACCUGCUGGAACAUAACUGACGCUGAUGCGCGAAAGCGUGGGGAGCAAACAGGAUUAGAUACCCGGGUAGUC